RNAcentral lists this ribosomal RNA (497 nucleotides) under uncultured bacterium. RNAcentral's name for it is "partial 16S ribosomal RNA". It matches the Rfam family "Bacterial small subunit ribosomal RNA", at positions 28 to 507 of the family's 1533-position model. The record is from RNAcentral.
GAUGAACGCUGGCGGCGUGCCUAAUACAUGCAAGUCGAGCGAACGGACGAGAAGCUUGCUUCUCUGAUGUUAGCGGCGGACGGGUGAGUAACACGUGGAUAACCUACCUAUAAGACUGGGAUAACUUCGGGAAACCGGAGCUAAUACCGGAUAAUAUUUUGAACCGCAUGGUUCAAAAGUGAAAGACGGUCUUGCUGUCACUUAUAGAUGGAUCCGCGCUGCAUUAGCUAGUUGGUAAGGUAACGGCUUACCAAGGCAACGAUGCAUAGCCGACCUGAGAGGGUGAUCGGCCACACUGGAACUGAGACACGGUCCAGACUCCUACGGGAGGCAGCAGUAGGGAAUCUUCCGCAAUGGGCGAAAGCCUGGCGGAGCAACGCCGCGUGAGUGAUGAAGGUCUUCGGAUCGUAAAACUCUGUUAUUAGGGAAGAACAUAUGUGUAAGUAACUGCGCACAUCUUGACGGUACCUAAUCAGAAAGCCACGGCUAACUACGUG